Molecule: ribosomal RNA, 259 nt
Filed under: uncultured Desulfocapsa sp.
Lineage: Bacteria; Pseudomonadati; Thermodesulfobacteriota; Desulfobulbia; Desulfobulbales; Desulfocapsaceae
Description: partial 16S ribosomal RNA
Rfam family: Bacterial small subunit ribosomal RNA
Source: RNAcentral
AAAGCUGGGAACGUCUGGGGAGACUGCCGGUGGAUAAACCGGAGGAAGGCGGGGAGUGACGUCAAGUCCUCAUGGCCCUUACAUCCCGGGCUACACACGUGCUACAAUGGCAGGUACAAAGGGCAGCGACACAGCGAUGUGAAGCCAAUCCCGAAAAGCCGGUCUCAGUCCGGAUUGGAGUCUGCAACUCGACUCCAUGAAGUUGGAAUCGCUAGUAAUCGCGGAUCAGCACGCCGCGGUGAAUACGUUCCCGGGCCUU